RNAcentral lists this unclassified non-coding RNA (346 nucleotides) under soil metagenome. RNAcentral's name for it is "partial contains 5.8S ribosomal RNA, internal transcribed spacer 2, and large subunit ribosomal RNA". The stretch from base 1 to 119 matches the Rfam family "5.8S ribosomal RNA", at positions 35 to 154 of the family's 154-position model. The record is from RNAcentral.
GAUGAAGAACGCAGCGAAAUGCGAUACGUAAUGUGAAUUGCAAAUUCAGUGAAUCAUCGAGUCUUUGAACGCACAUUGCGCCCCCUGGUAUUCCGGGGGGCAUGCCUGUCCGAGCGUCAUUGCUGCCCUCAAGCACGGCUUGUGUGUUGGGCUUCCGUCCCUGGCAACGGGGACGGGCCCAAAAGGCAGUGGCGGCACCAUGUCUGGUCCUCGAGCGUAUGGGGCUUUGUCACCCGCUCCCGUAGGUCCAGCUGGCAGCUAGCCUCGCAACCAAUCUUUUUAACCAGGUUGACCUCGGAUCAGGUAGGGAUACCCGCUGAACUUAAGCAUAUCAAUAAGCGGAGGA